AUUGAACGCUGGCGGCAGGCUUAACACAUGCAAGUCGAGCGGUAGAAAGUAGCUUGCUACUUUUGAGAGCGGCGGACGGGUGAGUAAUGCGUGGGAAUCUACCUGGUAGUGGGGGACAACAGUUGGAAACGACUGCUAAUACCGCAUACGCCCUACGGGGGAAAGCGGGGGAUCUUCGGACCUCGUGCUAUCAGAUGAGCCCGCGUGAGAUUAGCUAGUUGGUGGGGUAAAGGCCUACCAAGGCGACGAUCUCUAGCUGGUCUGAGAGGACGAUCAGCCACACUGGGACUGAGACACGGCCCAGACUCCUACGGGAGGCAGCAGUGGGGAAUAUUGGACAAUGGGCGCAAGCCUGAUCCAGCCAUGCCGCGUGUGUGAAGAAGGCCUUCGGGUUGUAAAGCACUUUCAGCGAGGAGGAAAGGUUGUAGCUUAAUACGCUGCAGCUGUGACGUUACUCGCAGAAGAAGCACCGCUAACU
RNAcentral lists this ribosomal RNA (478 nucleotides) under uncultured bacterium. Its description in RNAcentral is "bacterial SSU rRNA". It matches the Rfam family "Bacterial small subunit ribosomal RNA", at positions 30 to 502 of the family's 1533-position model. The record is from RNAcentral.